RNAcentral lists this ribosomal RNA (876 nucleotides) under Arthrobacter sp. qy19. RNAcentral describes it as "bacterial SSU rRNA". It matches the Rfam family "Bacterial small subunit ribosomal RNA", at positions 626 to 1496 of the family's 1533-position model. Lineage: Bacteria; Bacillati; Actinomycetota; Actinomycetes; Micrococcales; Micrococcaceae. The record is from RNAcentral.
GUGGGUACGGGCAGACUAGAGUGCAGUAGGGGAGACUGGAAUUCCUGGUGUAGCGGUGAAAUGCGCAGAUAUCAGGAGGAACACCGAUGGCGAAGGCAGGUCUCUGGGCUGUAACUGACGCUGAGGAGCGAAAGCAUGGGGAGCGAACAGGAUUAGAUACCCUGGUAGUCCAUGCCGUAAACGUUGGGCACUAGGUGUGGGGGACAUUCCACGUUUUCCGCGCCGUAGCUAACGCAUUAAGUGCCCCGCCUGGGGAGUACGGCCGCAAGGCUAAAACUCAAAGGAAUUGACGGGGGCCCGCACAAGCGGCGGAGCAUGCGGAUUAAUUCGAUGCAACGCGAAGAACCUUACCAAGGCUUGACAUGAACCGGAAUGAUGCAGAGAUGUGUCAGCCACUUGUGGCCGGUUUACAGGUGGUGCAUGGUUGUCGUCAGCUCGUGUCGUGAGAUGUUGGGUUAAGUCCCGCAACGAGCGCAACCCUCGUUCCAUGUUGCCAGCGGGUUAUGCCGGGGACUCAUGGGAGACUGCCGGGGUCAACUCGGAGGAAGGUGGGGACGACGUCAAAUCAUCAUGCCCCUUAUGUCUUGGGCUUCACGCAUGCUACAAUGGCCGGUACAAAGGGUUGCGAUACUGUGAGGUGGAGCUAAUCCCAAAAAGCCGGUCUCAGUUCGGAUUGAGGUCUGCAACUCGACCUCAUGAAGUUGGAGUCGCUAGUAAUCGCAGAUCAGCAACGCUGCGGUGAAUACGUUCCCGGGCCUUGUACACACCGCCCGUCAAGUCACGAAAGUUGGUAACACCCGAAGCCGGUGGCCUAACCCCUUGUGGGAGGGAGCCGUCGAAGGUGGGACCGGCGAUUGGGACUAAGUCGUAACAAGG